CCUACGGGCGGCAGCAGUGAGGAAUAUUGGUCAAUGGGCGAAAGCCUGAACCAGCCAAGUCGCGUGAAGGAUGACGGCCCUACGGGUUGUAAACUUCUUUUGUCAGGGAGCAAUUGAGCCCACGUGUGGGCUUAGCGAGAGUACCUGAAGAAAAAGCAUCGGCAAACUCCGUGCCAGCAGCCGCGGUAAUACGGAGGAUGCGAGCGUUAUCCGGAUGUAUUGGGUUUAAAGGGUGCGUAGGCGGAAUAUAAAGCCAGCGGUAAAAAUUCGGGGCUCAACCCCGUAGGGCCGUUGAAACUGGUGUUCUUGAGUGGGCGAGAGGUAUGCGGAAUGCGUGGUGUAGCGGUGAAAUGCAUAGAUAUCACGCAGAACUCCGAUUGCGAAGGCAGCAUACCGGCGCCCAACUGACGCUGAGGAACGAAAGCGUGGGGAUCGAACAGGAUUAGAUACCCGGGUAGUC
RNAcentral lists this ribosomal RNA (460 nucleotides) under uncultured bacterium. Its description in RNAcentral is "partial 16S ribosomal RNA". It matches the Rfam family "Bacterial small subunit ribosomal RNA", at positions 338 to 795 of the family's 1533-position model. The record is from RNAcentral.